RNAcentral lists this ribosomal RNA (374 nucleotides) under uncultured bacterium. Its description in RNAcentral is "bacterial SSU rRNA". It matches the Rfam family "Bacterial small subunit ribosomal RNA", at positions 524 to 898 of the family's 1533-position model. The record is from RNAcentral.
GACGAACCAUGCAAACGUUAUUCGGAUUCACUGGGCUUAAAGCGUGCGUAGGCGGUCUUGUUAGUCAGGUGUGAAAGCCCUCAGCCUAACUGAGGAAUUGCGCUUGAUACUGCAUGACUAGAGAAUGAUAGAGGUGGGUGGAACUGAUGGUGGAGCGGUGAAAUGCGUUGAUAUCAUCAGGAACACCAGUGGCGAAGGCGACCCACUGGGUCAUUUCUGACGCUGAGGUACGAAAGCUAGGGUAGCGAACGGGAUUAGAUACCCCGGUAGUCCUAGCCGUAAACGAUGAGCACUAGGUCGAGGGCCUCCACAGGCUCUUGGCCGUAGCGAAAGUGUUAAGUGCUCCGCCUGGGGAGUAUGGUCGCAAGGCUGAA